This is a long non-coding RNA of Corticium candelabrum, 1277 nucleotides long. RefSeq lists it as uncharacterized. Lineage: Eukaryota; Metazoa; Porifera; Homoscleromorpha; Homosclerophorida; Plakinidae. The record is from RefSeq and is a predicted model, not a curated record. The transcript is spliced from 3 exons.
CGAUUCGUGGCGCAAUAAAUGCGAAACCAAAUAGUCCCUGCGACCAAAUAGUGGCCGAAACCAAAUAAGCCCCAGCUAAACGGUUUUGGGAACCAAAUAAGAGCGAUAUAAUUGCCCGCGACCAAAUAGUCCCCGUACGUACACAGCGUCUAAUAGAAAAGGGGUUUCUGAAACAUUCCUGGCUAAGCCACUGCACUAACUACCGUAUACAUGCAUGCUACUAAACACAGGCAGAUUACCGUUCUUUAUUCUCUUUGGGAAAUCUUUCUAACUAGAAAGCGUUUGCUUUCUUUGAAACUUCGACGCCAUGGAAGCGACAACUUGGUGCGCUUGAAUAUCGUUACGUCUGUUUCAAACAGCGACCAUUGAAAUAACUUUCGUGGGUGCAUGACCUUGUACAAAGCGUGACAUAUUUCGAUAUUUGGGGGCCGAGCUUCUAGAGCAUGCGCAAUCUCGAGGGUAACACGCACCUUUCGCCGAUCUCGCUGUACGAAGUUCUCGUUUCCGGAUCUACUUCUAAACUGUAGAUCAUCUUGCCAUUGACUAGGCUUUGUAAGUAUGUUUACUACUUACCAUUUAGUGCAUUUUGAGAGACUUUGCCUGCGUAGAGACGCGUAGGAAGCCAUUUCUUGAGUACGGCUUCUCAAGGGUAAGAGGCUGCUGUUCAAGCUGAAGUCGCCUGAUUCACACUCUGAACAGAUACACGUGGAGUGGAAAGACAGACUGAAGAUUUUGCGCUUUCUUGAACUGUGGAACUGUGAAACUGUGUAUCUUGUCGAACUAGAGUCAGCAAAAAUUCGUCUAGCCUAACCAACCCUUCAUAGUAAUUGUCUUGGCUGUUGGUUCAAUCCAACUCUACACUGUAUCAAGCACAUUUCUCGACACAAAAUCUGUAUAACUUGAUCUAUCAUUUGGAAGUGUGUCGAUCGAGAAUGCCUUGCCUUUCCUUGCAACACUCAGACUUUGCAGAUACAAGAUCUUGCUCGAGAACUCUAAUGUUGUUUUGAAGUUUCACUAUUUCAUUUGCUUGCUGUUCAAUUAUCCGACAUAAACCAUCAGGUUCAGCCUCAGUGACAUUUUCGACAAUCAACAUCUUCACUUCUAGGAUCGCUAGACUAGCUAGACACGUCUUGAUCAACUGCGCCUGCGGAUGAGGUAGAACAGCCUCUGCUUUCUGAUUUAGACACUACAGCUUUGGAAUAGCUAGUGCGUGUGUGUUGUGUUACUUUAGACAUAACUGUUGCUGUGACUUGUAGACUGGCAGUGCUAAUUGUAAU